Molecule: transfer RNA, 72 nt
Filed under: Marmota monax (woodchuck)
Lineage: Eukaryota; Metazoa; Chordata; Mammalia; Rodentia; Sciuridae
Rfam family: tRNA
About the family: Transfer RNA (tRNA) molecules are approximately 80 nucleotides in length. Their secondary structure includes four short double-helical elements and three loops (D, anti-codon, and T loops).
Source: Rfam by way of RNAcentral
AGGGAUGUAGUUUAGUGGUAGACUCCUUGCCUAUCAGGCAGGGGUCUCUGGGUUCAAUUCCCAGCAUCAUAA